Molecule: ribosomal RNA, 193 nt
Filed under: uncultured bacterium
Lineage: Bacteria
Description: partial 16S ribosomal RNA
Rfam family: Bacterial small subunit ribosomal RNA
Source: RNAcentral
UCCUACGGGAGGCAGCAGUGGGGAAUAUUGGACAAUGGGGGAACCCUGAUCCAGCAAUGCCGCGUGUGUGAAGAAGGCCUUUUGGUUGUAAAGCACUUUAAGCGAGGAGGAGGCUACUUAGAUUAAUACUCUAGGAUAGUGGACGUUACUCGCAGAAUAAGCACCGGCUAACUCUGUGCCAGCAGCCGCGGUA